AACGAACGCUGGCGGCAUGCCUAACACAUGCAAGUCGAACGAGACCUUCGGGUCUAGUGGCGCACGGGUGCGUAACGCGUGGGAACCUGCCCUUAGGUUCGGAAUAACUCACCGAAAGAGGUGCUAAUACCGGAUAAUGUCUUCGGACCAAAGAUUUAUCGCCAUUGGAUGGGCCCGCGUUGGUUUAGCUAGUUGGUAGGGUAAAAGCCUACCAAGGCGACGAUGCAUAGCUGGUCGGUGAGGAUGACCAGCCACACUGGGACUGAGACACGGCCCAGACUCCUACGGGAGGCAGCAGUGGGGAAUAUUGGACAAUGGGCGAAAGCCUGAUCCAGCAAUGCCGCGUGAGUGAUGAAGGCCUUAGGGUUGUAAAGCUCUUUUACCCGGGAUGAUAAUGACAGUACCGGGAGAAGAAGCACCGGCUAACUCCGUG
Molecule: ribosomal RNA, 433 nt
Filed under: uncultured bacterium
Lineage: Bacteria
Description: partial 16S ribosomal RNA
Rfam family: Bacterial small subunit ribosomal RNA
Source: RNAcentral